Molecule: ribosomal RNA, 1060 nt
Filed under: Limosilactobacillus fermentum
Lineage: Bacteria; Bacillati; Bacillota; Bacilli; Lactobacillales; Lactobacillaceae
Description: bacterial SSU rRNA
Rfam family: Bacterial small subunit ribosomal RNA
Source: RNAcentral
UUCUGGAUGGACCUGCGGUGCAUUAGCUUGUUGGUGGGGUAACGGCCUACCAAGGCGAUGAUGCAUAGCCGAGUUGAGAGACUGAUCGGCCACAAUGGGACUGAGACACGGCCCAUACUCCUACGGGAGGCAGCAGUAGGGAAUCUUCCACAAUGGGCGCAAGCCUGAUGGAGCAACACCGCGUGAGUGAAGAAGGGUUUCGGCUCGUAAAGCUCUGUUGUUAAAGAAGAACACGUAUGAGAGUAACUGUUCAUACGUUGACGGUAUUUAACCAGAAAGUCACGGCUAACUACGUGCCAGCAGCCGCGGUAAUACGUAGGUGGCAAGCGUUAUCCGGAUUUAUUGGGCGUAAAGAGAGUGCAGGCGGUUUUCUAAGUCUGAUGUGAAAGCCUUCGGCUUAACCGGAGAAGUGCAUCGGAAACUGGAUAACUUGAGUGCAGAAGAGGGUAGUGGAACUCCAUGUGUAGCGGUGGAAUGCGUAGAUAUAUGGAAGAACACCAGUGGCGAAGGCGGCUACCUGGUCUGCAACUGACGCUGAGACUCGAAAGCAUGGGUAGCGAACAGGAUUAGAUACCCUGGUAGUCCAUGCCGUAAACGAUGAGUGCUAGGUGUUGGAGGGUCUCCGCCCUUCAGUGCCGGAGCUAACGCAUUAAGCACUCCGCCUGGGGAGUACGACCGCAAGGUUGAAACUCAAAGGAAUUGACGGGGGCCCGCACAAGCGGUGGAGCAUGUGGUUUAAUUCGAAGCUACGCGAAGAACCUUACCAGGUCUUGACAUCUUGCGCCAACCCUAGAGAUAGGGCGUUUCCUUCGGGAACGCAAUGACAGGUGGUGCAUGGUCGUCGUCAGCUCGUGUCGUGAGAUGUUGGGUUAAGUCCCGCAACGAGCGCAACCCUUGUUACUAGUUGCCAGCAUUAAGUUGGGCACUCUAGUGAGACUGCCGGUGACAAACCGGAGGAAGGUGGGGACGACGUCAGAUCAUCAUGCCCCUUAUGACCUGGGCUACACACGUGCUACAAUGGACGGUACAACGAGUCGCGAACUCGCGAGGGCAAGCAAAU